UACGGGGGGGGCAAGCGUUGUUCGGAAUUACUGGGCGUAAAGGGCUCGUAGGCGGCCAACUAAGUCGGAUGUGAAAUCCCCAGGCUUAAUCUGGGAACUGCAUCCGAUACUGGAUGGCUUGAAUUCGGGAGAGGGAUGCAGAAUUCCAGGUGUAGCGGUGAAAUGCGUAGAUAUCUGGAGGAAUACCGGUGGCGAAGGCGGCAUCCUGGACCGAGAUUGACGCUGAUGAGCGAAAGCUAGGGGAGCAAACGGG
RNAcentral lists this ribosomal RNA (253 nucleotides) under uncultured bacterium. Its description in RNAcentral is "partial 16S ribosomal RNA". It matches the Rfam family "Bacterial small subunit ribosomal RNA", at positions 524 to 776 of the family's 1533-position model. The record is from RNAcentral.